Molecule: ribosomal RNA, 252 nt
Filed under: uncultured Gardnerella sp.
Lineage: Bacteria; Bacillati; Actinomycetota; Actinomycetes; Bifidobacteriales; Bifidobacteriaceae
Description: partial 16S ribosomal RNA
Rfam family: Bacterial small subunit ribosomal RNA
Source: RNAcentral
CGGGUGGGUAAUGCGUGACCAACCUGCCCCAUGCUCCAGAAUAGCUCUUGGAAACGGGUGGUAAUGCUGGAUGCUCCAACUUGACGCAUGUCUUGUUGGGAAAGUGUUUAGUGGCAUGGGAUGGGGUCGCGUCCUAUCAGCUUGUAGGCGGGGUAAUGGCCCACCUAGGCUUCGACGGGUAGCCGGCCUGAGAGAGCGGACGGCCACAUUGGGACUGAGAUACGGCCCAGACUCCUACGGGAGGCAGCAGCC